RNAcentral lists this transfer RNA (83 nucleotides) under Pontivivens marinum. RNAcentral's name for it is "Monaibacterium marinum tRNA_Leu_TAA". It matches the Rfam family "tRNA". Rfam says of the family: Transfer RNA (tRNA) molecules are approximately 80 nucleotides in length. The record is from RNAcentral. Lineage: Bacteria; Pseudomonadati; Pseudomonadota; Alphaproteobacteria; Rhodobacterales; Paracoccaceae.
GCCCGCUUGGUGGAAUUGGUAGACACAUGAGACUUAAAAUCUCCCGGCCAUAGGCCGUGCCGGUUCGAGUCCGGCAGCGGGCA